UAUUAUUUAAAUAAAAGAAAAGAAAAAAGAAAUUUUUCCUUCCUUCUUCCUCCCGUGCGUCCUCCAUCCCUUUCUCCUUCCCGUACCCUAGCAGCCGCACAUCCCUCUCUUCUCCGUUCACCCAGUCGGCCACACAAGCUGCCGGUCGUUUCUUCUUCUUCUUUCCGGUCGUCUUCCUUUUCUCCUUCGGAUCGAAACCGCCGCGCCCAUCCGCUCACAACCGCCGUGCCUCUCCGCUCACAACCGUCGUGCCUCCCUCGGAAAGCAAAUCGUCAUCCAGAUCUGCAUCGCCGAGCCGUCCAGGUCCUCGCCGUCGCUUGUGCUUCACCCUUGCAGUUCGCCAUAACCCAGAUCCGUCGCUGCAACCGUCGGUCGGUUCGUGAAGUGCCGUACGCGUCACCUUGCAGCAGUCGUCCAGAUCUGCAUCGCCGUGCCCAUUCCUUUCCUCUCCGUUCGUGAAGCCCUGCUGCGCAAUCUCUGUCUCCGUCGAAGCCAAGCCCAGCCGCCGCCCGUUCCUUUCUCCUCUGUUUUCUGCACUGUCGCGUGACUCUCCGACCGCGGCUGUCUUCACCUCCGUGAAGCCGUCGACGCAUACAUCUCGUGAAGUCAUACACGGAUCCAAGUCGAUCUCUUCCUAAAUUACGUGUCCCCUAUCAAGUCGACGUUCUUCUGCUCGUUGUAAGACGGAGUUACGAUUUGAAGCCGAUUUUCUUUUCCAGUUGAGUCGCAUUCAGUGUUGCUCUAUUUACAGCCGCUUGAUUCGUUCUUGAUUGUCAUUUUUGCCUCGCCGUGAACCAUUGGGCUCAUAUUUGGGUACAUCUUGAUUCAGUGAGCGAAUCCUUGAUUUUCCAAAAGGUUGAAGUGGACUUGAUUUUCCACUUCUUGGGAUUUGAUUCAUUGGAUUUAGUAGAUUGAAGAACUUGCAUAAAAGUGAGGCAAAGGUAAUAAAGGCGGCAAACCGGCGAGGGGCAGGAAGGAAGUGUGAUUGCCAUAGGAAAUGUGUUAUUUUGCUUCCGCUUAUUGUUUUUUUUAGGUUUAAGACGUUGUAUUGAAACUUAGCUUACAAACUUUUAUUUGUAAAUAGUACUUUUUUUAAGUUUUUGGAAUAUUUGAAAAUCAGGCCUGACUUAAA
Cucumis sativus (cucumber) is the source of this 1132-nucleotide long non-coding RNA. RefSeq lists it as uncharacterized. NCBI's taxonomy places the organism in Eukaryota, Viridiplantae, Streptophyta, Magnoliopsida, Cucurbitales, Cucurbitaceae. The transcript is spliced from 4 exons. The record is from RefSeq and is a predicted model, not a curated record.